RNAcentral lists this unclassified non-coding RNA (240 nucleotides) under soil metagenome. RNAcentral's name for it is "partial contains 5.8S ribosomal RNA, internal transcribed spacer 2, and large subunit ribosomal RNA". The record is from RNAcentral.
AACCAUUCUCACCUGCGGCUAGACCUGCGGAAGGAUCAUUAAAAAGAGUGUGUACCCCUCUGUAAAAUGAGUGGGUUACCUCCCGUCCUUUGUUGACCUCUUAGGAGGUUAUUUUGAACUUUCUGCUUCGGUGGGGUUAAACCUACCGGAACACCCUCAAAUUCUUAUCAUUUAAAAAUUGUUCAGUCUGAUUUUUGUUAAUAAAAACAAAAAACUUUUAACAAUGGAUCUCAGAUCGGA